UAUAAGGAGGCAAUAAAGGACUGCACAGA
Molecule: non-coding RNA, 29 nt
Filed under: Cricetulus griseus (Chinese hamster)
Lineage: Eukaryota; Metazoa; Chordata; Mammalia; Rodentia; Cricetidae
Source: RNAcentral